UAAAAACUUAUUUAUUUUAGGUAGUAACAGAUUUCUUGAAACCUAAAGAAUUUGGCGGUAUUUUAAAUAAUUGGAGGAACCUGUUAAUUAAAUGAUAAUCCACAACAUAUCUUACCUAAAUUGAAUUUGUAUACCAUUGUUUUUAGAUUAUAUUUAAAAAUUAUAAUCGUAAUUAAUUAGUUUUUACAAAUCAAAUCAAGGUGCAGUAUAUUUAGGUUUUGAUGGGUUACAAUAUAUUUAUAUAAACGGACAAAUAAUGAAAAUAUUUUUUGAAGGUGGAUUUAAAAGUAAUUUGAAAUUAAAAUGUUCAGAUGAAUAAAAAUUUAAAAUAUGC
RNAcentral lists this ribosomal RNA (334 nucleotides) under Brachistosternus paposo. RNAcentral's name for it is "partial 12S small subunit ribosomal RNA". The record is from RNAcentral. Lineage: Eukaryota; Metazoa; Arthropoda; Arachnida; Scorpiones; Bothriuridae.